AAGACUAUAGACCUGCGGAGUACCUGCGGAAGGAUCAUUACCGAGUAUCGGGUGCUCUCGCGCUCUACUCCCACCCUGUGCUUAUCUAUAACUGUUGCUUUGGCGGGCCGGUGGGUCACCCACCGCCGGGCGGCGCCUGGAGAGCGCCCGCCAGAGGACCAAGCAAAACUCUUUGUCAACAUGGUCGCAUCUGAGCACGCGAGAAUGAACAAAACUUUCAACAAUGGAUCUCUAGAUCGG
Molecule: unclassified non-coding RNA, 240 nt
Filed under: soil metagenome
Description: partial contains 5.8S ribosomal RNA, internal transcribed spacer 2, and large subunit ribosomal RNA
Source: RNAcentral